CUGGCUCAGGAUGAACGCUGGCGGUAUGCUUAACACAUGCAAGUCGAACGGGAUGCUUAGGCAUCUAGUGGCGGACGGGUGAGUAACGCGUGAGAAUCUGGCUCCAGGUCGGGGAUAACAGUUGGAAACGACUGCUAAUACCGGAUGUGCCGAGAGGUGAAAGAUUUAUUGCCUGGAGAUGAGCUCGCGUCUGAUUAGCUAGUUGGUGGUGUAAGGGACCACCAAGGCGUCGAUCAGUAGCUGGUCUGAGAGGAUGAUCAGCCACACUGGGACUGAGACACGGCCCAGACUCCUACGGGAGGCAGCAGUGGGGAAUUUUCCGCAAUGGGCGAAAGCCUGACGGAGCAAUACCGCGUGAGGGAGGAAGGCUCUUGGGUCGUAAACCUCUUUUCUCAAGGAAGAAGAAAGUGACGGUACUUGAGGAAUAAGCAUCGGCUAACUCCGUGCCAGCAGCCGCGGUAAUACGGAGGAUGCAAGCGUUAUCCGGAAUGAUUGGGCGUAAAGGGUCUGCAGGUGGAACUGAAAGUCUGCUGUUAAAGAGUUUGGCUUAACCAAAUAAAAGCGGUGGAAACUACAGAACUAGAGUGCGGUAGGGGCAAAAGGAAUUCCUGGUGUAGCGGUGAAAUGCGUAGAUAUCAGGAAGAACACCGGUGGCGAAAGCGUUUUGCUAGACCGUAACUGACACUGAGGGACGAAAGCUAGGGGAGCGAAUGGGAUUAGAUACCCCAGUAGUCCUAGCCGUAAACGAUGGAUACUAGGCGUGGCUUGUAUCGACCCGAGCCGUGCCGGAGCUAACGCGUUAAGUAUCCCGCCUGGGGAGUACGCACGCAAGUGUGAAACUCAAAGGAAUUGACGGGGGCCCGCACAAGCGGUGGAGUAUGUGGUUUAAUUCGAUGCAACGCGAAGAACCUUACCAAGACUUGACAUCCUGCGAAUCCUGGUGAAAGCUGGGAGUGCCUUAGGGAGCGCAGAGACAGGUGGUGCAUGGCUGUCGUCAGCUCGUGUCGUGAGAUGUUGGGUUAAGUCCCGCAACGAGCGCAACCCUCGUUUUUAGUUGCCAGCAUUAAGUUGGGCACUCUAGAGAGACUGCCGGUGACAAACCGGAGGAAGGUGAGGAUGACGUCAAGUCAGCAUGCCCCUUACGUCUUGGGCUACACACGUACUACAAUGCUACGGACAGAGGGCAGCGAGCCAGGGAUGGCAAGCGAAUCCAGAAACCGUAGCUCAGUUCAGAUCGAAGGCUGCAACUCGCCUUCGUGAAGGAGGAAUCGCUAGUAAUUGCAGGUCAGCAUACUGCAGUGAAUUCGUUCCCGGGCCUUGUACACACCGCCCGUCACACCAUGGAAGUUGGUCACGCCCGAAGUCAUUACCCCAACCGAAAGGAGGG
RNAcentral lists this ribosomal RNA (1387 nucleotides) under Cylindrospermopsis raciborskii LEGE 08326. Its description in RNAcentral is "16S ribosomal RNA". It matches the Rfam family "Bacterial small subunit ribosomal RNA". The record is from RNAcentral. Lineage: Bacteria; Bacillati; Cyanobacteriota; Cyanophyceae; Nostocales; Aphanizomenonaceae.